GGUGCCAUAGCCAAGUGGUAAGGCAGAGGUCUGCAAAACCUCGAUUCCCCAGUUCAAAUCUGGGUGGCACCU
Molecule: transfer RNA, 72 nt
Organism: Clostridium sp. CAG:413
Lineage: Bacteria; Bacillati; Bacillota; Clostridia; Eubacteriales; Clostridiaceae
Rfam family: tRNA
About the family: Transfer RNA (tRNA) molecules are approximately 80 nucleotides in length. Their secondary structure includes four short double-helical elements and three loops (D, anti-codon, and T loops).
Source: Rfam